Long non-coding RNA from Nicotiana attenuata, 1231 nucleotides. RefSeq lists it as uncharacterized. The record is from RefSeq and is a predicted model, not a curated record. The transcript is spliced from 4 exons. Lineage: Eukaryota; Viridiplantae; Streptophyta; Magnoliopsida; Solanales; Solanaceae.
UUCCUCAACAUUAUUCGAAUCACAGCACCUAAACUUUUUCUUCAGUAUGAUAAAUAAUGGCACAAGCAAAAAGGCAAAGGGGCGAGGAGUUUGAAGAUAUAGAAGAAGAAGAAGGCAACACAAGCUGGUUACGUGGAAAGAAGUGCAAAAUUAAAAACUUUUUAUUUUGACGUAGACUGGGUCAGGUAUUUACUAUUUAUGCAUUAUAUGGAGAGGAAACGGUCCAAUUUAGCCGAAUUCAAAAGUCACCGUCUACGCGCUUUUUUUAUUUUAUUAUUUUAAUUAUCUAGAACACAUGUUAUUUAUACUUUAUUUUUAUUCCUUGUCAGAUUAUUGAGAUGGGCAGAAGUUUGGUACUACUACUAUUGUACCUCUUGCUACAAAAUUUGAACGUUAAUAUUAAAAUUUUAAGCCCAAUAAUAUAUUAGAAUACAACUAAUUUCUUCCAAAAGAAAGGUAUGCUAGUGUCCGCAACAUUUUCAAUUAUAUCGGACAAAAAGAAGAAUUUUCCAUUACAUACUUGUCCCGUUUUAUGUGAUGCAUUGACACAAAGUUUAAGAAAUAUAAUUUUUUUAAAAAUUUGUGAUCUAAAACAAAUACUCUAUAUUUGGUGUGCAGAGUCUAAACUAAAUCAUUUAUAAAUAUAAAAAUAUUCCGUCCGUCUAAAUUUCAGGUCCACUAUUGAAUUGACACACUUCUUAAGAAAUAAUAAAUAACACCACAAUUUUACUAUAAAUCUCUUAAUUAUUAUUAUUGAAAAGUUAAUUUUGACUAUUAUAAAUCUAAACUGUUGGAAAAUAACAAGGGUAAAUUAUGUAUAAAAUGACAAGUUAUUUAUUAGUUUUUUAAAUUAAACAAGUAAAAAUAAAUGAGUAUUAUAACAAAUAAUCUUGAACGGCCCUUAAUAAAAGGAAAGUGUAUUCAUAAAUUGGUAAAUUAGAUGAAGUACUAUAUUAUAUAGGCCUGUUCCCCACUUUCAAAUUUAUUAGUCUCCUCUCUCCUCUCUCUCCCUCUCUCUCUCUCUAGAUUUUCUCCUUAUUGUGGAUUGGUUCUCCGCAAUAGGGGCGUUAAUCUCGGUGCUCCUAAAUCCUAUUCCUCAGUGUUCCUUGGAUUUUCAGGUCAGCAGGAUGUUCAAGUGAAUGUUCUCGUUAUAGCUGAUUCUUGCAAACUAAUUUGGCUGUUAAUACAUGCUGUUAAUAGCUUUUGCCUGCUUUUUUCUCCAGGUACAUUC